AGAGCGAACGCUGGCGGCAGGCCUAACACAUGCAAGUCGAGCGCCCGUAGCAAUACGGGAGCGGCAGACGGGAUAGUAACACGUGGGAACGCGCCCUUCGGUUCGGAAUAACUCAGGGAAACUUGAGCUAAUACCGGAUACGCCCUUACGGGGAAAGAUUUAUUGCCGAAGGAACGGCCCGCGUCCGAUUAGCUAGUUGGUGAGGUAAUGGCUCACCAAGGCUCCGAUCGGUAGCUGGUCUGAGAGGAUGACCAGCAUCACUGGGACUGAGACACGGCCCAGACUCCUACGGGAGGCAGCAGUGGGGAAUAUUGGACAAUGGGCGCAAGCCUGAUCCAGCCAUGCCGCGUGGAUGAUGAAGGCCUUAGGGUUGUAAAGUCCUUUAACGGGGAAGAUAAUGACGGUACCGUAGAAUAGCCCCGGCUAACUUCGUGCCAGCAGCCGC
RNAcentral lists this ribosomal RNA (445 nucleotides) under uncultured bacterium. RNAcentral's name for it is "SSU rRNA". It matches the Rfam family "Bacterial small subunit ribosomal RNA", at positions 26 to 518 of the family's 1533-position model. The record is from RNAcentral.